AUAAGUAUAGUAUAUAAAUUAUUAAUACAUUUUGCUUACAACAAAAAAAAUAAAACUUAUU
Molecule: transfer RNA, 61 nt
Filed under: Cochlostyla marinduquensis
Lineage: Eukaryota; Metazoa; Mollusca; Gastropoda; Stylommatophora; Camaenidae
Description: tRNA-Val
Source: RNAcentral